GUUCCUAGUCGAUUGUUUCUGAAGCUCCACAACGGGAACUCCCUGAUUUUCAAUGAAAAUGAUUUUCAGCAAUUCUAUGUUAGGGCAUAUGGGGAAGUGCUUGCUUUGUGAAAAAUAGCUUUAGGUGAAAGUACUUGUGAGAGGGUGGGGCCUGUUGAAAGAAUUAUAGCAGAUGUGAACUUAAAGUCAGAGUUCAAGCUGGCUGAGAAGACCAGACAAUCACCUGAGCUGUCACUGAGCCUUGGUGCCAGGAACAAUGGACAAGAUUCUGGGAGCAUCAUUUUUGGUUCUGUGGCUUCAACUAGGCUGGGUGAGCGGCCAGCAGAAGGAAAAAAGGGACCAGCAGCAGGUGAAACAGAGCUCUCAACCUUUGACAGUCCAGGAAGGAGACAUUUCAAUUCUGAACUGUACUUAUGAGAACAGUGCCUUUGACUACUUCCCAUGGUACCGGCAACAUCCCGGCAAAGGACCUGCAUUAUUGAUAGCCAUACGUUCUGGUUCAAAUGCAAAGGAAGAUGGAAGAUUGAGAGUUUCCCUCAGUCAAAGUGCCAAACAUGUGUCCUUGAACAUCAAGGCUUCCCAGCCUGGAGACUCAGCCACCUACUUCUGUGCAGCAAGUGCACAGUGCUCUCCAGGCACCUGCAGCCUGUACCCAAACCUGCAGCUGAGGCUCCAGCCAAACCCUGCUGUGUAG
Phacochoerus africanus (Common warthog) is the source of this 694-nucleotide non-coding RNA. NCBI's taxonomy places the organism in Eukaryota, Metazoa, Chordata, Mammalia, Artiodactyla, Suidae. The record is from the annotation of a RefSeq genome assembly.